This 466-nucleotide ribosomal RNA is filed under the name uncultured bacterium. Its description in RNAcentral is "partial 16S ribosomal RNA". It matches the Rfam family "Bacterial small subunit ribosomal RNA", at positions 28 to 505 of the family's 1533-position model. The record is from RNAcentral.
GACGAACGCUGGCGGCGUGCUUAACACAUGCAAGUCGAACGGAAAGGCCCUGCUUUUGUGGGGUGCUCGAGUGGCGAACGGGUGAGUAACACGUGAGUAACCUGCCCUUGACUUUGGGAUAACUUCAGGAAACUGGGGCUAAUACCGGAUAGGAGCUCCUGCUGCAUGGUGGGGGUUGGAAAGUUUCGGCGGUUGGGGAUGGACUCGCGGCUUAUCAGCUUGUUGGUGGGGUAGUGGCUUACCAAGGCUUUGACGGGUAGCCGGCCUGAGAGGGUGACCGGCCCCUUGGGCGCGGGGCCCCCCCCCGGGCUUCCCCGGCAGCGUGGGGUGGGAAAUACUGCCCAGGGGCCGGGGGGGUGAAGCAGCGCCGCCUGUGGCAGAAUGGGGGGCUUGGGGUUGUAAAACCCUUCCGCCGGUGAGGAGGCGCUGGGGGUGGUAAUGGGUAAAGACCCGCCGGCAACCGUCG